This is a long non-coding RNA of Homo sapiens (human), 2087 nucleotides long. Ensembl annotates it as family with sequence similarity 66 member C. Its record names the gene FAM66C. Lineage: Eukaryota; Metazoa; Chordata; Mammalia; Primates; Hominidae. The record is from Ensembl.
CCCAUGGUCAGGGAGGCGCCAUCGCCCUGGCUUUGGGGCUGGGGCCUCCGGGGAGGUUCCGGUAGGGGCGUUGGAGAGGCCGCUCUUUUUGCAAGGCCCGAGAUGGCGGGCCCUGCGCAGGCCGCCCUAUUCCGCGCCCUCAGGGCGUCAGUAUCCGCCUGAGGCCGGAUACCCACUCUGGGCUCGGAUACCCGCGCUGGGCCCGGAGCAUCCUCGGCGCUGCCCUCCCAGAGCCCCGCAGAGGCUGAGGUGGCGCGGGGGCGGCCCCGGCUCCGCGAGAAGAGGCGGCAGCGAGGGCUGGAGGACCCGGGCUACGGGGCUCCGGGGCGUCUGGCCUGGGUGGGACUGAGCCCAUCCAGGGACUGGGACUCCGGGGUUCUGGUGUAGGUGGAUCCCGGGCAGGCUCAGGACCAAGACCCUCUCCUUCCACCAAGGAGCGCCCAGAGGCCGGCGGGAGCUCCAGGUUCACCUCCUCCUCCUCCAGGGACGACUUGAGAAGGCAUCCUGACCCUAUGCAGAAAUGCAGAAACACUUCCAUGAGCUAAACAACCUAUGUGAAGGCCUGAAAGCCAAAGCAAGAUCCUCUUAUUACAAAGCUGUCCAACAAAAAGUUUUCCAAGUAACACUGGAGGUCCAUCACUCACUCUUCCUGGUCUGGAAAUGCCAGAAAUGUCCUCCUUGGUCCUUCUGAGAGUCAAGAUCUUUUCAAAGUCACCUCAGGAGCCACAGAACCACUCCAUCCUACCUGAAAUUGCAGGAUGACUCUUCUUUUGACCAGAGUCUCAAAAAUAUAUUCGUUGAUAAUUUUGAUUCCUGGGAGCCGCCAUUGCUUGCAAAAGAUGUGCCAGGGACUAGACAUUUUCUGUCUCCUCACUUGUCCGGGGAAGACUGAAGUUUUACUGAAACACAGAGAUGGGAAUCUGACCCUCUGAGCAGCCUCAGGAUUUUCUAAGUCUUCCAAGCAGAGUGGAAAUACUGGAAAUCCCACUUCCAGCUGGAUGUCUGGAUGAACUCCUGAAAGCUGCUGAGUGUCCUGCAGCAGGUGAGCUGUGGCCAGAGCCCAAGGAUGAAGGGGACUCCCUCACUCUGUGACUGUGAAGAGGAAGCCUGAGGUGUAGCAGGCCCAGGCCCCAGAAGUAUGGAAAAAAUGAGCCUUUCAUCCCAAAGAUGCAGCCGACUUGAUUGUGGUGGAUGAGCUUUUUGAUGUGCUGCUGGAUUCUGUUUGCUAGUAUUCUAUUAAGAAUUUUUGCAUUGAUGUUCAUCAGGGAUAUUGGCCUGGAUUGAGCAGGCCAUUUCCAAUCCAGAGGAAGACCUUCUAGAAGAAGUGAUGGGUGGGAGAGUGCUGACAUACUAUGCAAAGCUACUAUUUGGAGUUGGACACGAGUGCAUGUGACCUUGUGCCACAGCGGGAAUGUGAGCUGGAUGACAAAUGGAGAUUUGGACUUGUGAUAAUUGGCCUCUGUGUCAUUGUGUGGAAGACUGACUGGUCCCUUUAUUUCCUGUAGCUUGACUACCACACAAAUUAAUCCACUCAAAUGUUGGCAAGUGGAGCAGAGUCCCAGGACAGUCUGCAAUCUCUACAGGUACAGAAACACCCCCAGUUCAAGGAUCUUCACACCUGGAUUUAGGCCUACACCUGCAACUACCCCAGGCCAGUUAUCCAGGCAGUGACUUUCUGUACAGCUACAGUCACCUCUGGACACCUGCGGAGACUUUAAAAAUUUCCAGAAGGUCAGGAAUUUUUGGAGACCUUUCUUAUGGCUACGUUGCCUGCAAAGGUGAAUCAAUAAGCUUCUGAACUGACUUAGAAAAUGUUGCAGAGACUCUUGUGAACAGAUAGACCCUCUCCUGCCACUCCAGAUAGACGUAUCCGGGUCACACACACCUGAUUUAACAACAUCUCAUUAUCUCAGGCACCAAUUUGAUCUUCUACUACUUUGCAGACAUCUCUUCUGCAAACACCAGACAAACUGAGACAAUGAACUUCCGCAGGACCCAAAGCACCUCUUACUGCAGGAAAGAAGAUCCAGUGAGAUAGUUAGUCCACAAAUGGAAUGUCAAUCCAUAAACACACUUAAGUAACAGAA